RNAcentral lists this ribosomal RNA (622 nucleotides) under uncultured bacterium. Its description in RNAcentral is "bacterial SSU rRNA". It matches the Rfam family "Bacterial small subunit ribosomal RNA", at positions 37 to 691 of the family's 1533-position model. The record is from RNAcentral.
UGGCGGCGUGCCUAACACAUGCAAGUCGAACGAGAAAGUGGAGCAAUCCAUGAGUAAAGUGGCGACCGGGUGAGUAACACGUGACUAACCUACCUCCGAGUGGGGAAUAACUCCGGGAAACCGGGGCUAAUACCGCAUAACAUCGCGAGAUCAAAGCAGCAAUGCGCUUGGAGAGGGGGUCGCGGCUGAUUAGCUAGUUGGCGGGGUAACGGCCCACCAAGGCGAAGAUCGGUAUCCGGCCUGAGAGGGCGCACGGACACACUGGAACUGAAACACGGUCCAGACUCCUACGGGAGGCAGCAGUGGGGAAUUUUGCGCAAUGGGGGAAACCCUGACGCAGCAACGCCGCGUGGAGGAUGAAGCCCUUUGGGGCGUAAACUCCUUUCGACCAAGACGAUAAUGACGGUACUGGUGGAAGAAGCACCGGCUAACUCUGUGCCAGCAGCCGCGGUAAUACAGAGGGUGCAAGCGUUGUUCGGAAUUAUUGGGCGUAAAGGGCGCGUAGGCGGUGCCACAAGUCACUUGUGAAAUCUCCGGGCUUAACUCGGAGUCUGCAGGCGAAACUGUGGUGCUGGAGUGUGGGAAAGGUGCGUGGAAUUCCCGGUGUAGCGGUGAAAUGCGU